Neogale vison (American mink) is the source of this 102-nucleotide small nuclear RNA. Lineage: Eukaryota; Metazoa; Chordata; Mammalia; Carnivora; Mustelidae. The record is from Ensembl.
GUGCUCGCUUUGGCAGCACAUAUAGUAAAAUUGGAAUCAUACAGAGAAGACUAGCAUGGCGCCUGCAAAAGGAUGAUGGAAAGUGAUGGACUCUUAACUAUA